This is a long non-coding RNA of Orbicella faveolata, 942 nucleotides long. Lineage: Eukaryota; Metazoa; Cnidaria; Anthozoa; Scleractinia; Merulinidae. The record is from RefSeq and is a predicted model, not a curated record.
GGGGAGUAGAAAUACUCCUAGUCGCUUCAUGCUUCUGAAACCUGGAUAAGCACCCGCCCGAUGAGCCACUUGGCUCAUAGGCAGACUUAGCCUUAGCCUUACCUUAACUUAAUGUACCAACUAAAGUUCUAAAUAUUGCUGUUAGAGAAUAUUGGCCAUUUCCGAGUUGCCCCUACUAAUACUUCUAUUUAAAACGAGUCUUAGUGCAUGCCUGUCGUAUUGAAAUAAGUUUUUCUUGCACAUUCAUUGUCUUGCAAGUCAAACUCAUUUCCAUAUGAGAGGUUGUGUACCAGAACUGGUUCAUUUUGAAACAGACUGUGGUAAAAAGUAACUUGGAAAUGGUUUAUUGGGUUAGAAUUGUACUGUAUGGUAGCAGGCAACUACUAAGUAAACAUACUUAUGAAAUGUUAAUUUAUAGUUGGUGACUUUGCCUCCUGUCAAAGAAGCCAUUGAGUCUCUUGAAACCAGCCAUGUUAGAUAUGAACUUUUCGACAGAGUAAGAAUCGAGCCAACAGACACCAGUUUUAAAGAUGCUAUUGAGUUUGCCAAGCGAGGUCAGUUUGACUCGUUUCUUGCUGUCGGUGGUGGCUCGGUGAUUGACACUGCCAAAGCUGCUAAUCUGUACCUCUGUCAUCCAGAAAACGACUUCCUGGAUUUCGUGAAUGCACCUGUCGGGAGAGGAUUGCCUAUUGACAGAACUUUGAAGCCUCUUAUAGCAAUUCCAACAACGGCUGGGACAGGUAUGCAAUAUUAACAGUUUUUUGGCCUGGGGGUGAGAUUGUUGAUACUAUUAUCACAUUUUAUGUUAUUAAGUAUCAUGACGACAUUCAGUCAUGCAUCUUAAGAAAGUUCAAAGGUGGAAUUCUCUGUUGGUAAGCUGAGAAAAUGGUGGCAGGAGGCGCGGUGGCCUCAUGAUUAGUGGGCCCGUCUCUGUAUCGAGCA